CAACUUUCAGCAGUGGAUGUCUAGGCUCGCACAUCGAUGAAGAACGCUGCGAACUGCGAUACGUAAUGCGAAUUGCAGGAUUCAGUGAGUCAUCGAAAUUUUGAACGCAUAUUGCACUUUCGGGUUUUGCCUGGAAGUAUGUCUGUAUCAGUGUCCGUA
Molecule: ribosomal RNA, 159 nt
Filed under: Phytopythium megacarpum
Lineage: Eukaryota; Oomycota; Peronosporomycetes; Pythiales; Pythiaceae
Also listed under: 8 other names
Description: 5.8S ribosomal RNA
Rfam family: 5.8S ribosomal RNA
About the family: 5.8S ribosomal RNA (5.8S rRNA) is a component of the large subunit of the eukaryotic ribosome.
Source: RNAcentral